GACGAACGCUGGCGGCGUGCUUAACACAUGCAAGUCGAACGGACAGGCCCUGCUUUUGUGGGGUGCUCGAGUGGCGAACGGGUGAGUAACACGUGAGUAACCUGCCCUUGACUUUGGGAUAACUUCAGGAAACUGGGGCUCAUACCGGAUAGGAUCUCCUGCUGCAUGGUGGGGGUUGGAAAGUUUCGGCGGUUGGGGCUGGAUUCGCGGCUUAUCCGCUUGUUGGUGGAGUAGUGGCUUACCAAGGCUUUGAAGGAUAGCCGGCCUGAGAGGGUGACCGGCCACAUUGGGACUAAGAGACGGCCCAGACUCCUACGGGAGGCAGCAGUGGGGAAUAUUGCACAAUGGGCGGAAGCCUGAUGCAGCAACGCCGCGUGCGGGAUGACGGCCUUCGGGUUGUAAACCGCUUUCGCCUGUGACGAAGCGUGAGUGACGGUAAUGGGUAAAGAAGCACCGGCUAACUACGUG
This 468-nucleotide ribosomal RNA is filed under the name uncultured bacterium. RNAcentral describes it as "partial 16S ribosomal RNA". It matches the Rfam family "Bacterial small subunit ribosomal RNA", at positions 28 to 507 of the family's 1533-position model. The record is from RNAcentral.